AUUGAACGCUGGCGGCAUGCCUUACACAUGCAAGUCGAACGGCAGCAUGGAGAGCUUGCUCUCUGAUGGCGAGUGGCGAACGGGUGAGUAAUGCAUCGGAACGUACCGUGUGAUGGGGGAUAACGUAGCGAAAGUUACGCUAAUACCGCAUACGACCUGAGGGUGAAAGCAGGGGAUCGCAAGACCUUGCGUUAUACGAGCGGCCGAUGUCAGACUAGCUAGGUGGUGAGGUAAAGGCCCACCAAGGCGACGAUCUGUAGCGGGUCUGAGAGGAUGAUCCGCAACACUGGGACUGAGACACGGCCCAGACUCCUACGGGAGGCAGCCGUGGGGAAUUUUGGACAAUGGGGGCAGCCCUGAUCCAGCCAUGCCGCGUGAGUGAAGAAGGCCUUCGGGUUGUAAAGCUCUUUCGGCCGGGAAGAAAUCGCACAGGCUAAUACUCUGUGUGGAUGACGGUACCGGCAUAAGAAGCACCGGCUAACUACGUGCCAGCAGCCGCCGUAA
This 504-nucleotide ribosomal RNA is filed under the name uncultured bacterium. Its description in RNAcentral is "partial 16S ribosomal RNA". It matches the Rfam family "Bacterial small subunit ribosomal RNA", at positions 30 to 523 of the family's 1533-position model. The record is from RNAcentral.